AAAAAAGACCUUUGUCAGAGAAUCAAAAGAAUGUUUGAUUUAUAGUGUCACGGUGAGGAUGCGUACACCGGAUAUUGCCAUUUAGUGAUAAGGUAUUUUUCGAAAACGUGUUUAUUUUUCGUCAACAAGAUUCAACUUGUGUAUGUGUGUUUAUGACUGGCUCGACGAACGAAUUUAAGGACAUUGUAUGUCAUUUUGUUGAACACCACCCAAAUGACGAGAAUAUAUUCGUAUGCUAACGACCAAAACCGCAAAAAAGUAAAUUACAAGAUAGCACCAGACAUAUGCAGAGAAAAAAAAAGCAGAAAAAAUACUGUUGAUUCAGAAAAUAUUAACAUACAUGUUUUAAAAAGGAACCCGAUUACAAAAGGGACCAAUUUGCAACAGAAAGAAACCUUUGAUUUGGGCAAAUAGUGAGGAGCCUGUUCACUGACUGUAGUGGAAAUGUAUGCUACCUACCACGCCAUCUAGCUCAAUAUUUACACAAUGCUACCAGUACAAAAAUAUAAUCUAGAGACACAUUCACGGCGGUAUACAUGGACAUUUCAAUGUUACACAGAGUGCAAUUUCCAUGGACAGACAAGGUUUUCGGACAGUAUUGUUAAACAGUCUAUGAAAGAAUGAGACAAAAAAGAUGAAUGAAUAAAUAACCUUUAAUCAGUUUGUUUGCCAAGAAACGUUUUCUUAAACUGAUUUUAUAGUUUCCUAUAUUUUUUGACGUCGCAAAAUGUUUUCAUCGACAACUUGGUUAAUUUGAGGUAUAGUGAAGACUGCAAGUUGCUUGAAGAGCAGACUUAUAACUCUUCCAAUGAAAUUACAAUUAUACAACUGCUUGCAUAACAGAGACCGCAUUUCUGCCGCUAAAUUAAGAGGAAAGAGAAAAGCAAACAGACAAAUACUUAUUGACAUUAAAAGAAGUAGCUAGUAACUGCAUAAAUGUGAUGAGUGUACAUUACUUCCACAUAAGACUGGGCAUUGAUACUGAAAUAGGUUCUGUUGUGACAUAUUUAUUUUACCAAACAUUAUUUGACAAGCAAUAUUGUAAAAGCCAUGGUUUACUUUGAUAAAGAACAAAUAGUCAUGUACAUUGAAAUAUUUAUUAAACAAACUUGAAACCUAGACACACUUUCUUUCUAAUCCUUUCCACCAACUGUACUUGUAAUGCUAGUAUAUAAAUAUAGUUAUGUAUAUUGUUGGGAAUAAAUAUGUUUAAACCAAA
Long non-coding RNA from Mercenaria mercenaria, 1219 nucleotides. RefSeq lists it as uncharacterized. The transcript has 2 exons. NCBI's taxonomy places the organism in Eukaryota, Metazoa, Mollusca, Bivalvia, Venerida, Veneridae. The record is from RefSeq and is a predicted model, not a curated record.